Molecule: long non-coding RNA, 1583 nt
Organism: Spinacia oleracea (spinach)
Lineage: Eukaryota; Viridiplantae; Streptophyta; Magnoliopsida; Caryophyllales; Amaranthaceae
Exons: 3
Source: RefSeq, a predicted model, not a curated record
UUCCUUUCUCAACUCCUCCUACCUCCCUCUUCCCCGUUUACGCAAAUCCAAUAACACCAAAAUCCUUCUCUAUCUUAUGGUCUCCAACAGAGUUCCCUGAGAUCAUAACUUCUGAUGUAAUUGUUACUACUACAAACAUAUCUGUCAAUCUACCCAUUUGACCAUAUAAAAUGUUCACAAAAUCACCAAAUAUUCUCCUUCUAAUUAUCUAAUAUACUUUUGAUUACAGACUUUACAUUUAAUACACAAGCAAGCGAAUAAUUCCAUGAUUAACACAACUGCACUUAGGUAAAGUAAGGAUUCAUGUGACAUCAUUUCCCUCAUUGCUUUUCACAGAGCAAGAGUAAUAUGUGCCCUUACCCCCUCUCCCUGCUCCAACAAAAAGAACUUUGGCAUCAAAUUGUGAAAAACAAGAUGCUGCAGACUUGCGUACAGUCAUUGGCAUAGGCAAUUUGGUACCAUCCAACAUUAAAAUGAACUACUCCUAACCACCAAAUAAAUGACACUAACGUUCUUCAAGUCCUCCUGCUAAUAGCAUCACUCAUAUGCUCCCAUGCCAAAUCUAUAACUUCAACUAACUGUUGAUGUCAUAACUGUAGCCAUGUCAUAUUCUUGUGCAAUUUCUUCUCGAGCAAAACCUAUUUCCUCUUUUUCUAGGAAGUGCUAUUCUACUCCAUUUCAAUUGGUAAACAGCUGUCAACAACUCAACAUGACUGUCUCACUCUUUCUCAACGAAAAUUCAAACUAAAAAAUGACUUGCAUCUGUUUUGGCUCCCCCCCUUUCAUCUCCUCCUUUGUCAUCACUAAAUCUUUUCCCAUGAUAUUUCAGCUAAAAACCCAUCAUGAUUUCAGUAGUUUAUACGAUCUGGUUCUCUCUCUGGGAAAUCUAUUCCGUACUGAGAAGACCGUCCUUGACCAAUUAACCAUGCUGAGGAUGAUGAUAUCGACGGAGAUUUUGCCAGUAAUCGUCGCAAAGUAAAAUAAAGAGUGCUCCUUGGAUGCUCAAGAAGAUCCUAAAAUGCAGCGACUUUGCAGAGCAGUGUAGAGGGUGGGCUGCCAUGAUGGAAAAUGAUCGGUUUUCUUUUCCAUAAAGAAAAUGUAUAAAGUGAUGAAAGGAGAUCAUGGCAAAGCUCGAUGUAGAAGGGUGCAUGUUAUACUUCAGCUAGUGGAAGAAGCUUAUUCAUGUUAUGGCUGGCUCUCCAAGAUAAGCUUGCCACUUUGGAUAGGCUUACAAAAUGAAACAUUAGUGGUGUUGUGAUCUCAUCCGCAGUUUGUGAAUUGGAUAAUGAAACAUGCAGUCAUUUAUUUUCCAGCUGUCAGUUCACAGGGGAAAUAUAUGGUGCAAGGUUCUGCAGUUGCUUGGGUUUGGAAGAGCUCCUUGAAAUCUCUCAAUUGAAGUCAGCAAUGUCAUUAGAGUCGCUAAGAGGUCUUCUAACAGAAGCAAGCUUUAUCUAAUUUUUAGCUGUAUCUAUAUAGGUCAUACAGGUUUAUAGGAAUGAUAGGGUUGUUAAUAAUGUACGUAGAUCUGCUGACAGUUUGUUUCUUGAUAUUAUUUAAGAGUUGCAAGUACAGCUUACGAUAUU